This 450-nucleotide ribosomal RNA is filed under the name uncultured Thiobacillus sp. RNAcentral's name for it is "bacterial SSU rRNA". It matches the Rfam family "Bacterial small subunit ribosomal RNA", at positions 926 to 1382 of the family's 1533-position model. The record is from RNAcentral. Lineage: Bacteria; Pseudomonadati; Pseudomonadota; Betaproteobacteria; Nitrosomonadales; Thiobacillaceae.
CAAGCGGUGGAUGAUGUGGAUUAAUUCGAUGCAACGCGAAGAACCUUACUACCCUUGACAUGUCCGGAACUUGCCAGAGAUGGCUUGGUGCCCGAAAGGGAAUCGGAACACAGGUGCUGCAUGGCUGUCGUCAGCUCGUGUCGUGAGAUGUUGGGUUAAGUCCCGCAACGAGCGCAACCCUUAUCAUUAGUUGCUACGCAAGGGCACUCUAAUGAGACUGCCGGUGACAAACCAGAGGAAGUGGGGAUGACGUCAAGUCCUCAUGGCCUUUAUGCCCAGGGCUACACACGUGCUACAAUGGGUGGUACAAAGAGUAGCGAUGCCGCGAGGUGAAGCCAAUCCCAAAAAGCCGUCCACAGUUCGGAUUGGAGUCUGCAACUCGACUCCAUGAAGCCGGAAUCGCUAGUAAUCGUGGAUCAGCAUGCCACGGUGAAUACGUUCCCGGGCCUU